This is a long non-coding RNA of Oncorhynchus keta (chum salmon), 214 nucleotides long. RefSeq lists it as uncharacterized. Lineage: Eukaryota; Metazoa; Chordata; Actinopteri; Salmoniformes; Salmonidae. The transcript is spliced from 3 exons. The record is from RefSeq and is a predicted model, not a curated record.
CACCACUGUACUAACCUGUUACACACUGAAGACCUAUAGGUUCACCACUGUACUAACCUGUUACACACUGAAGACCUAUAGGUUCACCACUGUACUAACCUGUUACACACUGAAGACCUAUAGGUUCACCACUGUACUAACCUGUCACACACUGAAGACCUAUAGGUUCACCACUGUACUAACCUGUCACACACUGAAGACCUAUAGGUUCACC